CACCGAUGACGUCAUAAUGGAAAGACGUCACAAUAACUAAUUCUUUACACUGGGUCCAGCUCAGAUCGAUUUGUAACUCGGAUUCUGAAAGAACUGAAUAGAACGGCUGUUUUGAUCGAUCAAAGGAAAUGGAUCAUGAUGAAAAGAAAGUUGUGGGUAGGUGGGGGAGUGGCACUCCUCCCCCGCCCGAGGAGCCUGUGUAGGUUUCAUCUGACGAUGAAUGUUCCAUCGAAGGCAGGGCUAGCCCUGGGUUGCUAUUUUUGUUUGCCAAAAAAUUCGCCAAUCUUAAUUUCUUUCGCCAAUCUAAAUAUAUAUUCGCCAGUAACAUAUUGGCAUUUCAGUCAAAAGAUAUUAUUUUUAAUUUGUUCUUUAUGAUAAUAUAGUAUAUGCUAAAAUGUACUUAUUAUUCAGUUUACAUCUUGUAAUCUAAUAAUCUUAAACUGUAUUUCAUUUUAUUUAAUCGUGCUUUCUAGCUUUACGACAAGCAGCAAUGCAAAUAGUGCUUAUUCACACCACAAGGCGGAUCAACUGAACAAAACUGGUUGAACACAUGGUUUGGUUCUAAAAAUCGAGAUGGGGAAAAACAUCUUUUGCAAAUUUUUUCACCAAAUCGAAAAUUCUUUCGCAAUUUUUUCUUUUUUUUCCGCAACUGGCGACUUUGGUGAACAACAGCGCGAGCCCUGGGAGGAGCCCAGGGAGACACAGGAUGACACCAAGAAGGUGAUUUUGCCUUCGCCUGCGGCGACAAUGCCACCUCUGCAUGAAAAGGCGUCGUCAUCUCAGUCGGAGGCUUCUCUAAAGGAAAUCCCCCCUUUUUUGACAGUGUUGCAAUGGGACCAGCAUCCAGGGUCUCCCUCCGCCGGUUUUUUUAACCCAGGGAAGAGGAAGGGGGGUUUUGGGGAUGAAGGAUCUGGGGAGUUUUUUCCCCCUCUAUCCCGUUCCUUCCGACGUGGUCAUCAGAGGACAGCAACAACGAUGCUGAGUUGGGGGAUAGCUAAUUGGUUUACAAUUCUUUUUAUUAAGUAUUUUACUGUUUAACUUUUAAGUGUUCAACUUUUAAAGUGUUAUUCAAGGAAUAGUUCUUAGUGUAUAUUCUAUAAUAUUCCUGGAUGUGACUUUAACUGUGCCUUAGUGCAUAAUUUAUAAUAUUCCUGGAGAUAACUUUAACUGGUUUUCUGGAUGCCACCACCAGAUAGGCCAGUACUAUUGACAAAUGUGACUUAACUGCUUCUUUUUUUUUUGGGGGGGGGGUUAAGUUGAGAAGAUAUGGAACCAUGGAUGUUUCCAAAGAGCCUGUUUAUUCAUGGAUGUUCAUCAAAUCCUGGCCCGGGUGAAUCUGGGCCUAUAUCCAGGCUGGAGAAAGUGUUUGGUGUUUCCUGAAAAUUCUGAAGGUGAUCUAAUCUUCUAUAAAAUGUGAGGGGGGAGGGAGAGGGGGAAGUGUGGUGACCUAUGACCCGGCUACCCCCCGGAUGGAGACGGUGUGGUCGCCUGCAGAACACCCACCGAUCACAGACCUGCGAGCUCAUAACCAUAUAGGGUUUUGGCGGGAAGAUAGGGCCCGAUGGCUGCAUGGAAGAGAUCACAUGACCUGGGAUUUGGAGUGGUCGCCUGCUGUGUGACUGUCCCCACACUCUUGAUUACGGAACCACAGACUGAAUCAGCAGUGUUGGCUAUCACAGUAGAAGAUAAAAUAUGGUGCUAAUCUCCACAAAAUUUCCUGGAUUUCCAUCAACAAACUAUUUGGAGAUGUGGUGCCAAACCUUCUGGGACUGAUGGAUUUGGUGCUGAUCAUCCCAGCCACUUCAGUUGAAGCUGAGUGUGGCUUCAGUGUGAUGAAGCGGGUGAAGACAGACUUUAGGAACAGACUGUACAACAGAGCUCUGAGCGACCUCCUGCGCAUCAUUCUUCUGUCCCCAGCUGAAGCAGACUUUCAGCCAGACACUGCUGUUGAGCACAGUUUCACCAGCACAGAUCGCAGAGAAUCAACAAGUAGAACUUCUGUUGAUGUUGAAGAUCCCGAAGAAGUAGAUGAAGAUGAUGACUGUCUUGGCCUCAGUGACCUCCUGGGAGAUGCUGCAUGAUCCUGAGUAACUCAGUCAAUGCUGCCUGUUUAGUGACCAGAACUUUGUGGACAGUCAGUGUGAAGUAAUUUACCAUGCCAGUGUGAAGUCAUUAAAAUGUGGUUGACAUUAUUUAUGACAUUUGUUUUGUUGUUUUGAUUUAUUAGUGUAGUUUUAUUCCAAUGACCAUGGAGGUUAACUGAGAUAAUAAAGGUAAGUACUGUGGACAAGUGAAUAUUCAGGCGGACAAGUGAAAAUUACACCAGACAUGUCAUGUGGACAAGUGAAAAUGUUUGCUUAUUUCUAUCACUGAAAGGGGACCCUGAUAACGCUAAGAAAAACAUGCUUCCAGAUUAUGUGUUGAAUGAAAUUAAGCCAGUUUUCGAAUUUCUUGGCAGUGACGAACUAUUGUCAAAAUGUCUUCAUGGCUGGUCGAAUUGCAGCUGCCAACAUCUCCAUAAAUGAAAAUGUCAUACAUAAAAGAAAGAAAACACAAGGGAAAACAAAGAAAUUGACACUGAUGAUAACUAUAUACCUGGUGGACAUUAACACAUAACU
This 2618-nucleotide long non-coding RNA is filed under the name Gigantopelta aegis. RNAcentral describes it as "uncharacterized LOC121382469". Lineage: Eukaryota; Metazoa; Mollusca; Gastropoda; Neomphalida; Peltospiridae. The record is from RNAcentral.